Molecule: long non-coding RNA, 400 nt
Filed under: Prunus persica (peach)
Lineage: Eukaryota; Viridiplantae; Streptophyta; Magnoliopsida; Rosales; Rosaceae
Description: long non-coding RNA (PPER_LNC006011)
Source: RNAcentral
GCUCGUGACAACCUAAGGAUCUCAUCAAGACACAGUGCCACUUCACUACCCUCGCCCACGUGCUGCCGCACGCGCGGGCAACGCUGGGUGUCCAAAGCGAUUACGCAUCGGGAAAAUCUCAAAACCACGGCUCCAAACUCCUACCCUAGGUAUAACGCCAUAUUUGGAACCACUUUUGUUCUGGGACCUACCCAAAAAACUGACCGGAAGUGGCCAAACUCGGAGGCCGAAAAUCGGUCAAAUUCCAAUUCGAAAACCGAGCUAUUUACGAUCAAAAUCGAUGCAAUCCUACCCAACCAUCAGCUAGAACAGCUCGAGAGGUUCAAAAUCCAUACCUGGCUCGUCUGAUUUGGUGGAGAAAUGAGGGAGAAUGACGGCUGUGAAAUUCCGGUCACACCCG